RNAcentral lists this non-coding RNA (49 nucleotides) under unclassified sequences. RNAcentral's name for it is "DUF2693-FD RNA". It matches the Rfam family "DUF2693-FD RNA". Rfam says of the family: DUF2693-FD RNA is a non-coding RNA (ncRNA) recognised in Bacteroides by a bioinformatic analisis by Zasha Weinberg. The record is from Rfam by way of RNAcentral.
GCCCCAUUGACGGAAUGAACGCAGCCCGUGAGCGAUACACGGAUGGGGC